Molecule: long non-coding RNA, 1239 nt
Filed under: Gallus gallus (chicken)
Lineage: Eukaryota; Metazoa; Chordata; Aves; Galliformes; Phasianidae
Description: lncRNA (ENSGALG00010014565.1)
Source: RNAcentral
CCAAAGUAUAUGAUGCUUCAGUCUGUAGAGUGUGCAAACAAUGCAUUUUUAAUUUGUUUCUUAAGAGUUUUUGAAGAUCACAUUUGUAUAGGUUUUCUUUGGCAUGGAGACUUGAGAGAGGGAAAGAGAACACAAGGGAGCACAGAAUUAUGAAGUGGAGCAUAAUGAACAGUUUUGAAAAUCAGGCAUUAUUGCAAGCACUACACUUAAACAUAGCUGAGGUUCUACAUUAAUUCAGCCUUUAAAACUUUGAAUUUCUUAUUAAAGAUUGCUUGGAUAACUGUCUUUGAUGGUAAGAGAUCUUGCAGUGCUUGAUGCCCUGAAUUCCAGCUGUGAGCUGACAUCUCUUGGAAGAAUCCCAGCCAGCCUUCCCAUUGAACCACUUGCCAAGAUGAUGACAAUGGGCUGUAACUUUAGUAAGUUUAAUGGCUUUGUUUCUCCGAAACAAAUGUAGCAAUGAAUGCUACAGCUGGGAAUGAAAAACUGAAUAUUGAUGAGAUCAGAGAAUAAAUAACUUCGUAUGGGGAAUAAAGUAGUUGUGAACUGAAAGGGUAAGUAGAGUGAUUGAAACGGACCUGUAGAGGCUGAAUAUUUAUGAAGCAAGAGUGGGACUGCAAAUACUAAGUACAGUGGUAAGGUAGAGGUAGGGGGACAGGAAUUUUGUGACCUAGACAGGACAAGCAAAGAAUUCACACAUUUUAUUUCAGCAGAAGUAAAGAACUGUUGCUUUUAACUGUGAUGGCUGUAGGGUUAUUUUCCCUGAAGAAGAUGGUGGAAAGACCUAGAGAUGGUUGGAAGAAGAUAGGCAAAGUAUGCAACAAGUGAGAAAGCAGAGAAAGACUUUGUGAACACCAAAGAUUUAGCAUGGCUUAAGAAUGGCUUAGGUAGAAAAGGGGCAGCUGAAAGGUACGUAUUCAUUCUGUCUUCCCAGAAAGGGAGAUUCUAUUUGGACAUCGUGAUUUAAUGAGCGUGUUUUUCAUUCAGGGAUGAGAAAUAAACGAGAUAAUCUGUGAUGAACACGUAGGCAAGGAAGUGUGCAUUAGAGCCCUUCUGCUUUUGCUGGUAUGUUCAGGUGAAAUUAUAGUGGUGUCUCAUUCUGGUCGUUGCCUACCAGACAAAAACAGACAAGCUGUGAUGGCUGAGAUGCAAUACGGGGGGAUUUUGGAGGCUGAGGCUAGGCCAGAAGGGUUGAAAAUAUGUUGAUUAAUUGUCCUUAGAGAGUAACCUCCCUGAUUUUCU